GAUGAACGCUGGCGGCGUGCCUAACACAUGCAAGUCGAACGAAGCACCUUACCUGAUUCUUCGUAUGAAAGUUUGGUGACUGAGUGGCGGAAGGGUGAGGAACGCGUGGGUAACCUGCGCUGUACAGGGGGAUAACAGCUGGAAACGGCUGCUAAUACCGCAUAAGCGCACGAGGAGACAUCUCCUUGUCUGGACAUCUCCGGUGGUAUAGUAUGGGCCGGCGUCUGAUUAGCUGGUUGGUAGGGAAACGGCCUAUCACGGCAACGACCAGUAGCCGGUCUGAGAGGAAGGACGGACACACUGGAACUGAGACACGGUCCAAACUACUACGGGAGGCAGGAGUGGGGAAUAUUGCACAAUGGGGGAAACCCUGAUGCAGCAACGCCGCGUGAGUGAAGAAGUAGUGCGGUAUGUAAAGCUCUAUCAGCAGGGAAGAUAAUGACGUUACCUGACGAAGAAGCACCGGCUAAAUACGUG
This 477-nucleotide ribosomal RNA is filed under the name uncultured bacterium. RNAcentral describes it as "partial 16S ribosomal RNA". It matches the Rfam family "Bacterial small subunit ribosomal RNA", at positions 28 to 507 of the family's 1533-position model. The record is from RNAcentral.